UACGUAGGGUGCAAGCGUUGUCCGGAAUUAUUGGGCGUAAAGAGCUCGUAGGCGGUUUGUCGCGUCUGCUGUGAAAACCCGAGGCUCAACCUCGGGCCUGCAGUGGGUACGGGCAGACUAGAGUGUGGUAGGGGAGACUGGAAUUCCUGGUGUAGCGGUGAAAUGCGCAGAUAUCAGGAGGAACACCGGUGGCGAAGGCGGGUCUCUGGGCCGAUACUGACGCUGAGGAGCGAAAGCGUGGGGAGCGAACAGG
This 253-nucleotide ribosomal RNA is filed under the name uncultured bacterium. RNAcentral's name for it is "partial 16S ribosomal RNA". It matches the Rfam family "Bacterial small subunit ribosomal RNA", at positions 524 to 776 of the family's 1533-position model. The record is from RNAcentral.